UGGGGAAUAUUGCACAAUGGGGGAAACCCUGAUGCAGCGACGCCGCGUGAGCGAUGAAGUAUUUCGGUAUGUAAAGCUCUAUCAGCAGGGAAGAAAAUGACGGUACCUGACUAAGAAGCACCGGCUAAAUACGUGCCAGCAGCCGCGGUAAUA
RNAcentral lists this ribosomal RNA (153 nucleotides) under uncultured Bacillota bacterium. RNAcentral describes it as "uncultured Firmicutes bacterium partial 16S ribosomal RNA". It matches the Rfam family "Bacterial small subunit ribosomal RNA", at positions 355 to 525 of the family's 1533-position model. The record is from RNAcentral. Lineage: Bacteria; Bacillati; Bacillota.